UUAAUCGUCAAUCGCGAUUAACAUUUAAAUCGUUAAUUUUUAAUCCUUAAUCAGCUUAACAUUUUGCCAACACUGAUCUGAGACCGUC
Rhagoletis zephyria (snowberry fruit fly) is the source of this 88-nucleotide long non-coding RNA. RefSeq lists it as uncharacterized. Lineage: Eukaryota; Metazoa; Arthropoda; Insecta; Diptera; Tephritidae. The record is from RefSeq and is a predicted model, not a curated record.